GCCUUGGUAGUGUAGCUAGGUCUAUCAUGAAGCCCUGUCGAGGCUUCGACCCGGGUUCGAAUCCCGGCCAGGGCG
Molecule: transfer RNA, 75 nt
Filed under: Candidatus Woesearchaeota archaeon
Lineage: Archaea; Nanobdellati; Candidatus Woesearchaeota
Description: tRNA-Asp
Rfam family: tRNA
About the family: Transfer RNA (tRNA) molecules are approximately 80 nucleotides in length.
Source: RNAcentral